RNAcentral lists this ribosomal RNA (497 nucleotides) under uncultured bacterium. Its description in RNAcentral is "partial 16S ribosomal RNA". It matches the Rfam family "Bacterial small subunit ribosomal RNA", at positions 28 to 507 of the family's 1533-position model. The record is from RNAcentral.
GAUGAACGCUGGCGGCGUGCCUAAUACAUGCAAGUCGAGCGAACAGGCGAGGAGCUUGCUCCUCUGACGUUAGCGGCGGACGGGUGAGUAACACGUGGAUAACCUACCUAUAAGACUGGGAUAACUUCGGGAAACCGGAGCUAAUACCGGAUAAUAUAUUGAACCGCAUGGUUCAAUAGUGAAAGACGGUUUUGCUGUCACUUAUAGAUGGAUCCGCGCCGCAUUAGCUAGUUGGUAAGGUAACGGCUUACCAAGGCAACGAUGCGUAGCCGACCUGAGAGGGGGAUCGGCCACCCUGGAACUGAGACACGGUCCAGACUCCUACGGGAGGCAGCAGUAGGGAAUCUUCCGCAAUGGGCGAAAGCCUGACGGAGCAACGCCGCGUGAGUGAUGAAGGUCUUCGGAUCGUAAAACUCUGUUAUUAGGGAAGAACAAAUGUGUAAGUAACUAUGCACGUCUUGACGGUACCUAAUCAGAAAGCCACGGCUAACUACGUG